Molecule: ribosomal RNA, 250 nt
Filed under: uncultured bacterium
Lineage: Bacteria
Description: partial 16S ribosomal RNA
Rfam family: Bacterial small subunit ribosomal RNA
Source: RNAcentral
UACGUAGGGUGCGAGCGUUAAUCGGAAUUACUGGGCGUAAAGCGUGCGCAGGCGGUUCGUUGUGUCGGCGGUGAAAGCCCCGGGCUCAACCUGGGAAUGGCCGUUGAAACUGGCGAACUGGAGUGUGGCAGAGGGGGGUGGAAUUCCGCGUGUAGCAGUGAAAUGCGUAGAGAUGCGGAGGAACACCGAUGGCGAAGGCAGCCCCUUGGGCUAACACUGACGCUCAGGCACGAAAGCGUGGGGAGCAAAC